GAAAUGCGAUAAGUAAUGUGAAUUGCAGAAUUCAGUGAAUCAUCGAAUCUUUGAACGCACAUUGCGCCCCUUGGUAUUCCGAGGGGCAUGCCUGUUCGAGCGUCAUUAUAACCACUCAAGCCUCGGCUUGGUCUUGGAUCGCACCGGUAACACGGUCGAUCUUAAAAUCAGUGGCGGUGCCAUCGUGCUCUAAGCGUAGUAAUACUCCUCGCUACAGAGUUCUCGGUGUGUGCUUGCCAGCAACCCCCAACUUUCUAAGUUUGACCUCGGAUCAGGUAGGGAUACCCGCUGAACUUAA
RNAcentral lists this unclassified non-coding RNA (298 nucleotides) under uncultured Helotiales. Its description in RNAcentral is "sequence contains ITS1". The stretch from base 1 to 105 matches the Rfam family "5.8S ribosomal RNA", at positions 50 to 154 of the family's 154-position model. Lineage: Eukaryota; Fungi; Ascomycota; Leotiomycetes; Helotiales. The record is from RNAcentral.